AAGUCGUAACAAGGUUUCCGUAGGUGAACCUGCGGAAGGAUCAUUCACAAACGAGUGUUUUAUGGCACUCUUUAAAAAUCCAUAUCCACCUUGUGUGCAAUGUUUGUUGGGAAAGUCUUUUCUUUCCCUUCAUAAAUAUCAACCUAUAUCUUUAACAACAUUCGUCUGAUAACAUAUUAUGAAUAUACUUAAUUCAAAAUAUAACUUUCAACAACGGAUCUCUUGGCUCUCGCAUCGAUGAAGAACGCAGCGAAAUGCGAUACGUAAUGUGAAUUGCAGAAUUCAGUGAAUCAUCGAAUCUUUGAACGCAUAUUGCGCUCUUUGGUAUUCCGAAGAGCAUGCUUGUUUGAGUAUCAGUAAACACCUCAACCUCUCUUUUUUGAUAAAAAAAAGGGAGGGUGGACUUGAGCUAUCCCAACGACCUUCACCGGUAGGCGGGCGGCUUGAAAUGCAGGUGCAGCUGGACUUUUAUCUGAGCUAAAAGCAUAUCUAUUUAGUCCUCGUCAAACAGGAUUAUUACUUUUGCUGCAGCUAACAUAAAGGAUAAUUGUCCUCUUUGCUGACUGAUGCAGGAUUUUACGACACUUUAUGUGUUGUUCAACUCGAUCUCAAAUCAAGUAAGACUACCCGCUGAACUUAAGCAUAUCAAUAAGCGGAGGAAAAGAAACUAACAAGGAUUCCCCUAGUAACGGCGAGUGAAGCGGGAUGAGCUCAAAUUUGAAAUCUGGCUGGUUUACUAGUCCGAGUUGUAAUUUGUAGAGGAUGCUUUUGGUGAGGUACCUUCCGAGUUCCCUGGAACGGGACGCCAUAGAGGGUGAGAGCCCCGUCUGGUCGGAUACCGAUCCUCUGUAAAGCUCCUUCGAC
This 864-nucleotide small RNA is filed under the name uncultured Mortierella. Its description in RNAcentral is "eukaryotic LSU rRNA". The stretch from base 604 to 864 matches the Rfam family "Eukaryotic large subunit ribosomal RNA", at positions 1 to 261 of the family's 3401-position model. Lineage: Eukaryota; Fungi; Mortierellomycota; Mortierellomycetes; Mortierellales; Mortierellaceae. The record is from RNAcentral.